GCCCUCCCCACCCCCACGAGGGCCGCGGCCGUGGGGCGCUGGUAGCUCUCCCGCCCCUCCGCCCAGCACCCUUCCCGCCCUGGGGCUCCUUCCUUGACUGCGGCUGCAGCCUUCUCUUCCCGGGGGGCUCAGAGUUCAUCCCCCUUUUCGCCGUUGGGAACGUGGACACGCUGGAGCCUGGGUGCAGAAGGGCGCGGAAGUAUGGAGCGGGUGCGCGAGCCGCUGCCCAGCGUCCAGGCCGCACCACUCUCCGCUGAUCCAAAGGACGACUGGAACCCUGCGCGCCGACGACGGCUUGGGAGUUGGCGCGGGCCUUGGCACUAGAAAACGGAUCCCGCUCCCAGAAAGGCGGGCCGGGUAUCCCGCUCCUGCCUCCUGGAGAAUUAGCUCGGCGGAGUGUGUGGCCGGGAAGGGAGGGAGGGAAAGGCCUUGGGUCGACCAGCCGGUUAGGGAGUAGCUUCUGGGGGACUCCCUUGCCUACCGAGCGCGGGCGAGCUGCCUUCUGAGCGCCGCCAGUUAGCUGCAGCGGAGCCAGAAGUGUCCCCACUGGCUUACCCCACAGUGGGAUUUUACACGGUGUCGACCAAGGGAGGCUUUGUGAGAAGACCAUUUCAGAAGAGGAAACGGGCCUCUGGCUGGUGGGGUAGGAACCCCUGUGGAAUGAAAAGAUUCCCAGUCUCUGCGGAAGAUUGCAAAGAGUCCCGGGCAUAUUCGCUGCGCGCGUCUGUCUGCCCGCGCGGCGCUUGGCGGGCACCCGCUUCCACCAAAAGCCUGCGUUUCGCUUCUCCCAAACUAAAACUCAUCAAGCCAUAAAGCUUCCGGUGGAGAAGGCGCCGCGGAUUUAUGGCCCCCGAAUUCCCCACUCUCUAAUUAUCCUUGUUUUUACUUGACUUAUGGGUAGUGACCAAUAAAAUCAUUUUCCAUUUUG
This is a long non-coding RNA of Apodemus sylvaticus (European woodmouse), 928 nucleotides long. RefSeq lists it as uncharacterized. The record is from RefSeq and is a predicted model, not a curated record. The transcript has 3 exons. NCBI's taxonomy places the organism in Eukaryota, Metazoa, Chordata, Mammalia, Rodentia, Muridae.